GGUAUAGCUCAGUUGGUAGAGUGCUUGCCUUGCAUGCACAAGGCCCUGGGUUCAAUCCCCAGCACCA
This 67-nucleotide transfer RNA is filed under the name Marmota monax (woodchuck). Its description in RNAcentral is "tRNA.Ala". It matches the Rfam family "tRNA". Rfam says of the family: Transfer RNA (tRNA) molecules are approximately 80 nucleotides in length. Their secondary structure includes four short double-helical elements and three loops (D, anti-codon, and T loops). Lineage: Eukaryota; Metazoa; Chordata; Mammalia; Rodentia; Sciuridae. The record is from RNAcentral.